CCGGGUCCUGCAGGGUCCUGCGGCGCUCACUGCUCCCGCGUGGGUCGCCUUCCGAGGUCCUCCCGCCCACCAACAGAUGUGUGUGAAGAGGCUAAGCGUCCUUAAUGCCCUCUUUAUAUUCUGGAGAAUGGGGCGGCAUCCUCAGAGGACCAGAACCCAGCGAGGAGAUGCGCACUCACUGCUCGAUGCAGAUAAAACAGGGAUGACUGCAUGGGGACACAGCAAGAUGGUACCCAUCUCAAGCCAAGGAGAUGGGCCUUAGAAGAAAUCAAACCUGCCGACACCUUGAUCUUAGACUGCCAGUCUCCAUUAUGGGGCAGCUGAAAGCAUCCUCCUCAACGUGAAGGAGAGCCUUUGGACACGUGUGCCCCAUGACACAACCCAAGACCCUCCCUAUCACCUGCAGUGACCUCUUGUUCCAUCCACUCUGCCAUUUAUAAGAUCUCCUUGUCAGGGGAAAUGUUUAAAAAUCUGCAAUUACUUUUGAACUUGUUCCUAUGAUCCUCCAUACUCCCCUGGCCCAGGAUACCCCUCAGUGAUCCACUCUGACAACCCCAGCUAUUCCUAUCUGGUCUGCACUUUACCUUAAAAAAGGUCACUGACAGCCCUCGGUGAGCCAUGUAACAGCCCAUCAGCCCUGAGGUAGCCAGUCUUUCCCAACAUGGCUUUGUACUGAUAUGGCCCUCUGUCUCAAUAUGACCCCUUAACCCACUACAACCUCACCAUAAUAAACCCCCAAUGUUCUGAUAUUCCCCAUCACAUCC
Long non-coding RNA from Sciurus carolinensis (gray squirrel), 764 nucleotides. RefSeq lists it as uncharacterized. The transcript is spliced from 3 exons. The record is from RefSeq and is a predicted model, not a curated record. NCBI's taxonomy places the organism in Eukaryota, Metazoa, Chordata, Mammalia, Rodentia, Sciuridae.